This 28-nucleotide non-coding RNA is filed under the name Rattus norvegicus (Norway rat). The record is from RNAcentral. Lineage: Eukaryota; Metazoa; Chordata; Mammalia; Rodentia; Muridae.
UGGGAAGCUUUCACUAUGGUCAUAAUAC